GAAAAUUUCUUGUUAAAUGUCUCAUUUCUUUUGUUUUGUUACAAGUUACAAUCAUACAUCACUGAACAGUACACUGAGGUUCUUGUUAAUCUGCUACUUCAACAUGCUUGUUAAUCUGUGUCUUCCCAGAACAAGAAGAUAAUAAAUUGCAGAAAACAAUUGACAACGAAUUGUAAUGAAGUUGUACACACCUAUAAUGUGAUUUACAAAUGUGUGUAUCGCGAGUGACUUGUAAUAUUGCACCAUAAAGAAUAUCUUGAAUGAGCUCACCAUAACGAUCGUUCUGAGAGUUCAUAACUGAGAGGGGCUAAUAAAUUAGUAACUGCCAGAACCUGUGAAGCUUGUGAACACCGGAUUGAGGAUCAAGAAUGCAGCAAAACUAUAGAACUGCAGAUGAAACAUAUUUUACAAGAUUUUCAGGCUCCAAAUUCCAGUCUUGUAGAGAAAAGUUGAACUGUUCAAACUGUUGAGUAGAUUUAGCAGCCAAGACUCCUCAAAAUACUGUUGAGCUUGUCAAUUACGACUGGUGGAUCCGCAUAAGAUCCCUCCAAAUCAAUGGGAUGGUACUCCAAUCCUUUCCAAUAAGCAAUCAGAGAAAAAUGGGGGCGCCUAUAUUCACUGCUUAUGAUUUCUAGUAUAACAGCUUUUGGUGAUGCAGAAACAAUGUGCGUUAGACCUGCUCCAUGAGCACCUACAAUGACAGAAGCAUCUUGG
This 714-nucleotide unclassified non-coding RNA is filed under the name Hevea brasiliensis (rubber tree). The record is from RNAcentral. Lineage: Eukaryota; Viridiplantae; Streptophyta; Magnoliopsida; Malpighiales; Euphorbiaceae.